Molecule: ribosomal RNA, 800 nt
Filed under: uncultured bacterium
Lineage: Bacteria
Description: bacterial SSU rRNA
Rfam family: Bacterial small subunit ribosomal RNA
Source: RNAcentral
AGAGUUUGAUCCUGGCUCAGAACGAACGCUGGCGGCAGGCUUAACACAUGCAAGUCGAGCGCCCCGCAAGGGGAGCGGCAGACGGGUGAGUAACGCGUGGGAACAUACCCUUUGGUUCGGAAUAACUCAGGGAAACUUGAGCUAAUACCGGAUACGUCCGUAAGGAGAAAGAUUUAUCGCCAAAGGAUUGGCCCGCGUCCGAUUAGCUAGUUGGUGAGGUAACGGCUCACCAAGGCUACGAUCGGUAGCUGGUCUGAGAGGAUGAUCAGCCACAUUGGGACUGAGACACGGCCCAAACUCCUACGGGAGGCAGCAGUGGGGAAUAUUGGACAAUGGGCGCAAGCCUGAUCCAGCCAUGCCGCGUGAGUGAUGAAGGCCUUAGGGUUGUAAAGCUCUUUUGUCCGGGAAGAUAAUGACUGUACCGGAAGAAUAAGCCCCGGCUAACUUCGUGCCAGCAGCCGCGGUAAUACGAAGGGGGCUAGCGUUGUUCGGAAUCACUGGGCGUAAAGCGCACGUAGGCGGACCGUUAAGUCGGAGGUGAAAGCCUGGGGCUCAACCCCAGAACUGCCUUCGAUACUGGCGGUCUUGAGUAUGGUAGAGGUUGGUGGAACUCCGAGUGUAGAGGUGAAAUUCGUAGAUAUUCGGAAGAACACCAGUGGCGAAGGCGGCCAACUGGACCAUUACUGACGCUGAGGUGCGAAAGCGUGGGAGCAAACAGGAUUAGAUACCCUGGUAGUCCACGCUGUAAACGAUGAGAGCUAGCCGUUGGGGUGCAUGCACCUCAGUGGCGCAGCUAACGC